This 556-nucleotide ribosomal RNA is filed under the name uncultured rumen bacterium. Its description in RNAcentral is "bacterial SSU rRNA". It matches the Rfam family "Bacterial small subunit ribosomal RNA", at positions 49 to 619 of the family's 1533-position model. The record is from RNAcentral.
UUACACAUGCAAGUCGAACGGGCACUUCGGUGUCAGUGGCGAACGGGUGAGUAAAGCGCAGGUAAUCUGCCGCAAAGUCGGGGACAACGUUCCGAAAGGGACGCUAAUACCGGAUGUUGUGCAGAGGUCGCAUGACCUUUGCAUUAAAGAUUUAUCGCUUUGCGAGGAGCCUGCGUCCGAUUAGGUAGUCGGUGAGGUAAAGGCUCACCGAGCCGACGAUCGGUAGCCGGUCUGAGAGGAUGAACGGCCACAAUGGAACUAAGACACGGUCCAUACUCCUACGGGAGGCAGCAGUGGGGAAUAUUCCACAAUGGGGGAAACCCUGAUGGAGCGACGCCGCGUGAGUGAAGAAGGGCUUCGGCUCGUAAAGCUCUUUUCUCGUUGACGAAUUAGCCUUUGGGGCAGUUGACGGUAGACGGGGAAUAAGCCACGGCUAACUACGUGCCAGCAGCCGCGGUAAUACGUAGGUGGCAAGCGUUGUCCGGAAUUAUUGGGCGUAAAGGGAGCGCAGGCGGNGAUUCAAGUCCAAAUUAAAAGUUCGGGAGUAAUGUCCGUG